CUUGUGUUCACUUUAAAUUUCUUCUUCAGUAUUUUUUUUGCUUCUUGGGUUUUAGUUGUUUUUUUCUUCAUCUUUGAGUUUGAUGCAUUCAGCGCUGGACUAUCUUUAGAUUCCAAGUCAAAAACAUCCCGCCGUUUCACUGUCAGCAAAUCAAGAUCUUUAGUAUCAUCAUCGUCGUCGUCAUCUUCAAAGAACUGCAUGGAGUUUGUGUAUGGAACCCUGCUUGACAAAG
RNAcentral lists this long non-coding RNA (232 nucleotides) under Gallus gallus (chicken). Lineage: Eukaryota; Metazoa; Chordata; Aves; Galliformes; Phasianidae. The record is from RNAcentral.